RNAcentral lists this transfer RNA (70 nucleotides) under Salmo salar (Atlantic salmon). It matches the Rfam family "tRNA". From Rfam's summary of the family: Transfer RNA (tRNA) molecules are approximately 80 nucleotides in length. Their secondary structure includes four short double-helical elements and three loops (D, anti-codon, and T loops). Lineage: Eukaryota; Metazoa; Chordata; Actinopteri; Salmoniformes; Salmonidae. The record is from Rfam by way of RNAcentral.
UCCCAUGUGGCUCAGUUGGUAGAGCAUGGUGCUUGCAAUGCCAGGGUUGUGGUUCUGAUUUCCAUGGGGG